GAUGAACGCUGGCGGCGUGCCUAAUACAUGCAAGUCGAGCGAACGGACGAGAAGCUUGCUUCUCUGAUGUUAGCGGCGGACGGGUGAGUAACACGUGGAUAACCUACCUAUAAGACUGGGAUAACUUCGGGAAACCGGAGCUAAUACCGGAUAAUAUUUUGAACCGCAUGGUUCAAAAGUGAAAGACGGUCUUGCUGUCACUUAUAGAUGGAUCCGCGCUGCAUUAGCUAGUUGGUAAGGUAACGGCUUACCAAGGCAACGAUGCAUAGCCGACCUGAGAGGGUGAUCGGCCACACUGGAACUGAGACACGGUCCAGACUCCUACGGGAGGCAGCAGUAGGGAAUCUACCGCAAUGGGCGAAAGCCUGACGGAGCAACGCCGCGUGAGUGAUGAAGGUCUUCGAAUCGUAAAACUCUGUUAUUAGGGAAGAACAUAUGUGUAAGUAACUGUGCACAUCUUGACGGUACCUAAUCAGAAAGCCACGGCUAACUACGUG
RNAcentral lists this ribosomal RNA (497 nucleotides) under uncultured bacterium. Its description in RNAcentral is "partial 16S ribosomal RNA". It matches the Rfam family "Bacterial small subunit ribosomal RNA", at positions 28 to 507 of the family's 1533-position model. The record is from RNAcentral.